RNAcentral lists this unclassified non-coding RNA (345 nucleotides) under soil metagenome. Its description in RNAcentral is "partial contains 5.8S ribosomal RNA, internal transcribed spacer 2, and large subunit ribosomal RNA". The stretch from base 1 to 120 matches the Rfam family "5.8S ribosomal RNA", at positions 35 to 154 of the family's 154-position model. The record is from RNAcentral.
GAUGAAGAACGCAGCGAAAUGCGAUACGUAAUGUGAAUUGCAGAAUUCAGUGAAUCAUCGAGUCUUUGAACGCACAUUGUGCCCCCUGGUAUUCCGGGGGGCAUGCCUGUCCGAGCGUCAUUGCUGCCCUCAAGCACGGCUUGUGUGUUGGGCCUCCGUCCUCCUCCCGGGGGACGGGCCCGAAAGGCAGCGGCGGCACCGCGUCCGGUCCUCGAGCGUAUGGGGCUUCGUCACCCGCUCUUGUAGGCCCGGCCGGCGCUUGCCGACACAUCAAUCUUUUUUCCAGGUUGACCUCGGAUCAGGUAGGGAUACCCGCUGAACUUAAGCAUAUCAAUAAGCGGAGGA